RNAcentral lists this ribosomal RNA (196 nucleotides) under uncultured bacterium. Its description in RNAcentral is "partial 16S ribosomal RNA". It matches the Rfam family "Bacterial small subunit ribosomal RNA", at positions 338 to 524 of the family's 1533-position model. The record is from RNAcentral.
CCUACGGGGAGGCAGCAGUGGGGAAUUUUGGACAAUGGGCGCAAGCCUGAUCCAGCAAUGCCGCGUGCAGGAUGAAGGCCUUCGGGUUGUAAACUGCUUUUGUACGGAACGAAAAGGUCUGCCCUAAUACGGCGGGCCCAUGACGGUACCGUAAGAAUAAGCACCGGCUAACUACGUGCCAGCAGCCGCGGGUAAU